CGCGUGGAGAACCUGCCGUAUACUGGGGGAUAACACUUAGAAAUAGGUGCUAAUACCGCAUAAGCGCACAGCUUCGCAUGAAGCAGUGUGGAAAACAAAAAGCUAAAGCUUUUGGUGGUAUACGAUGGAUCCGCGUCUGAUUAGCUUGUUGGCGGGGUAAAGGCCCACCAAGGCGACGAUCAGUAGCCGGCCUGAGAGGGUGAACGGCCACAUUGGGACUGAGACACGGCCCAAACUCCUACGGAAGGCAGCAG
RNAcentral lists this ribosomal RNA (254 nucleotides) under uncultured bacterium. RNAcentral's name for it is "partial 16S ribosomal RNA". It matches the Rfam family "Bacterial small subunit ribosomal RNA", at positions 114 to 354 of the family's 1533-position model. The record is from RNAcentral.